ACGGGUGGCAGCAGUAGGGAAUAUUGGUAAUCUGGGAAACCGGGAACCAGCAACGCCGGUGCGCGAUGAAGGCUUCGGGUUGUAAAGUGCUUUUAAAGGGAUGAGGAAGGACAGUACCUUUAGAAUAAGCCUCGGCUAACUACGUGCCAGCAGCCGCGGUAAAACGUAGGAGGCGAGCGUUAUCCGGAUUUACUGGGCGUAAAGCGUGUGCAGGCGGUUUGAUAAGUUGGAUGUGAAAGCUCCUGGCUUAACCGGGAGAGGUCGUUCAAAACUAUCAGACUAGAGAGUGGUAGAGGGAGAUGGAAUUCCGCGUGUAGUGGUGAAAUGCGUAGAUAUGCGGAGGAACACCAGUGGCGAAAGCGGUCUCCUGGCCCAUUUCUGACGCUCAGACACGAAAGCUAAGGUAGCAAAUCAGAUUAGAGACCUGAGUAGUCCUAGCUGUAAACAUUGUCCGUUAGCUCUUCUCAAUUUAUUGGGAGGGAUGUUACUAACGCGUUAAACGGAUCGCCUGGGGAGUAUAGCCGCAAGGCCGAAACUUAAACGAAUUGGCGGGGAGGCGCACAACCAGUGGAGCAUGUGGUUCAAUUCGAUACAAAGCGAUGAACCUUACCUGGGCUUGAAAUGCACCUGCAGGCUCCUGAAAGGGAGAGUCCUUCAAGGGUGGUGCACAGCUGUUGCAUGGCUGUCGUCAGCUCGUGACGUGAGUUGUUCUCUUAAGUGAGGUAACGAGCGCAACCCCCAUUCUGUGUUAUCGUGUCACAGAAGACUGCCUAGCAUUAUUUUGUUAGGAGGAAGGAGGGGACGACGUCAAGUCAUCAUGAUGCUUAUGUCCAGGGCUACACACAUCCUACAAUGGGCUAUAACAGAGGGUUGCAAGACCGCAAGGUGGAGCUAGUCCCUAAACUAGCCCUCAGUUGGGAUUCAGGCUGAAACUCGCCUGCAUGAACCCGGAAUUGGUAGUAAUCGCACAUCAGCAGCGUGCGGUGAAUACGUUCUC
Molecule: ribosomal RNA, 997 nt
Filed under: uncultured Microgenomates group bacterium
Lineage: Bacteria
Description: bacterial SSU rRNA
Rfam family: Bacterial small subunit ribosomal RNA
Source: RNAcentral